CGAGGGUUGAGGCGUGAUGGCGAGCCCACUGUGUGGGUGAGUGAGUGAUCCUGUACUGCCGAGAAAAGCUUCGUGAGCGAGGUGUGAGCCGCCCGUACCCUAAACCGACACUGGUGGAUUGGUAGAGUAUACCGAGGCGAUCGAGAGAAUCAUGGUGAAGGAACUCGGCAAAAUGGCCCCGUAACUUCGGGAUAAGGGGUGCCUGAACCGUCCGGUCUGUGACAGGCUGUGGGCGGUGAGGGUCGCAGAGUCCAGGGGGAAACGACUGUUUACUAAAAACACAGGUCCGUGCGAAGUCGUAAGACGAUGUAUACGGACUGACUCCUCCCCGGUGCUGGAAGGUCAAGGGGAACUGUCAAGGGUCUUUCGGGGUCCUGAAGCGGUGAACUUAAGCCCCAGUAAACGGCGGUGGUAACUAUAACCAUCCUAAGGUAGCGAAAUUCCUUGUCGGGUAAGUUCCGACCUGCACGAAUGGAGUAACGAUUUCCCUACUGUCUCACCGUGAACUCGGUGAAAUUGCAUUACGAGUAAAGAUGCUCGUUACGCGCAGCAGGACGGAAAGACCCCGGGACCUUUACUAUAGUUUGGUAUUGGUGAUCGGUGCGACUUGUGUAGGAUAGGUGGGAGACGGUGAAGCGGCCACGCCAGUGGUUGUGGAGUCAUUGUUGAAAUACCACUCUGGUCGUUCUGGUUACCUCACCUCGGACCGUGAUCCGGUUCAGGGACAGUGCCUGAUGGGUAGUUUGACUGGGGCGGUCGCCUCCUAAAAGGUAACGGAGGCGCCCAAAGGUUCCCUCAGCCUGGUUGGUAAUCAGGUGUCGAGUGUAAGUGCACAAGGGAGCUUGACUGUGAGACAGGCAUGUCGAGCAGGGACGAGAGUCGGGACUAGUGAUCUGACGGUGGCUUGUGGAUGUGCCGUCACUCAACGGAUAAAAGGUACCCCGGGGAUAACAGGCUGAUCUUGCCCGAGCGCUCACAGCGACGGCAUGGUUUGGCACCUCGAUGUCGGCUCGUCGCAUCCUGGGGCUGGAGUCGGUCCCAAGGGUUGGGCUGUUCGCCCAUAAAGCGGCACGCGAGCUGGGUUUAGAACGUCGUGAGACAGUUCGGUCCCUAUCCGCUGCGCGCGCAGGAAUCCUGAGAAAAGCUGUCUCUAGUACGAGAGGACCGAGACGGACUGACCUCUGGUGUGCCAGUUGUUCCGCCAGGAGCAUGGCUGGUUGGCUACGUCGGGACGUGAUAACCGCUGAAAGCAUCUAAGCGGGAAGCACGCUUCAAGAUGAGGGUUCCCACAGAAGAAUCUGGUAAGGCCCCCGAGAGACCAUCGGGUUGAUAGGCCGGACGUGGACGCACUGCAAGGUGCGGAGCUGACCGGUACUAAUAGGCCGAGGGCUUGC
RNAcentral lists this ribosomal RNA (1394 nucleotides) under metagenome. RNAcentral's name for it is "bacterial LSU rRNA". It matches the Rfam family "Bacterial large subunit ribosomal RNA", at positions 1550 to 2925 of the family's 2925-position model. The record is from RNAcentral.